GCUUGAUGAACAUCUGGAUGUCUGUGCUACAAGAAUUUAGAACCUAUUAAAAUUUGUUAGCAGACAUCUACAAGUAUACAUUUGACAAGCGUGGAUCUUAGGAUAUUGGUCUUAGAACAAUUGAUAUUCUAGGUGUCAACAUGUCAUGUGUGUGCAUUGAACUUUUCUUUUCUUUUUUAUUUCCCAGCAUUUUACAAACCAGAACAAUAGUCAGGAGAGGUGAGACUUGUCUUAUCUUAACCAAACUUAUGUAAGUACCAAACCACUCUUCAAUAUUCCUUAAACACGGAAAGAACUUAGAUUAAAAGAAGAAAUCAGCAUUGAUACCAAGGACUGCUACCUUCUUCGAAAUCCAUGAAAAACAAGAUAGAAAGGCAGGCAUAUGAUGCCAACUUUGAAUUGGAAAAAGAUGCACUGCCAAUUACAUUCUGGACAGAAUGUCAUAGAUGAUGUUUUCCAAUCUUGAACCCAUCCAUGGUUUCCUGCAAAUCAUUUUGUUUUAUGGAAGAUGAUUGACUCCUCAAGGAUAAGAGUGAACAGCAACGUUAUGCUGCUUCUCUUCUGAACAUGGAAGAUGUGUACAUACUGGGUCCCAUUAAUUCUGUAACAAUAUGUAUAUUUUUUCUGUGACAUAAUAAGAUGCACCACUCAUCCUAACUUAGUUACCUACAUGCCAUAGAGCUACCGCCCCAGUUGCAUAGCAAAUCUCAAGUUGGCUGGGCAAGGCAUUCUAUUUGCAAGAAGUCUCUUUCCUUUUGGAACAAUUUUCAAAAACAGGAAUCCCUUUUUCAAGGACAGGUAGGUUUAGCAAGACUUGUCCAACUCACAUGGACAAGAGAAAUGAGAAGCAACUCAUAGGCCUUUUAGCCAUUUCAUAAUUUUAGCUUCAACUUGACCUCCCAAUAAGUGAUGUAAUAGGACCUAACGCAUCAAUAGUACUACUAAUUUUGUUUCCUGAGCAAAAGAGUACUGCUAAAUUCUUUGCUGCAUUUGCUCAAACUAUCAUUUUUUGGGCUUUAGAAAUUAACCCAAAUCUUUUCUACUUGCUAUAUAUGAGACACAAGACGUGAUCGGGAAAGCUUAUUUUUUAAUGAAAAUGUAUACGGAUACACAUAUUAAAUGGAUUCCAAAAUUAGCAUCCAUAUUUGUUCUAAAUAGAUACGGAUACAAUUUAGAGUUAAGUGCAUCUGUAGUUAUUUUGAACGGAAAUGGAUAUAUGCCGGAUAUUAUUCGUAUCCAUCUUUUGAUAUCUAAAUAUAAAUGUAAGUCAAAUACUAUUUGGCUGUAAGUCAAAUACAAUAUGGUUGUAAGUCAAAUACUACUUGGCUGUAAGUCAAAUUUGUAGCAGAAUUCAGUAAUUAAAAGUAAUAUUAGUUUGUAUAAUCAUAAAGGACAGGACUAGAAUUUACCAUGUAGAUUGCAAUGAUACAUAAGUAAACGAGGAUUUAAGGCAUGGUUAUCUAUAAACCUGCAUGGAGACCAGCCUUGCUAAGGGUCUGGAUCAUGAAUUAUCUAUUUUUAAAGAGCUUGUAACAAAAAUUAUAUAUAGAUAUAGAAAAUAUAUAAAAGUUAUUAAUAUUGACAUUUUAGACAAUAAACCUUUGAAAAUAUCAUAAAAAAUAAAAUAUAUUUAUUUUUCAUUUUUUUAUCUUAGAGAAAAAUAUUUUUAUAAAAAAUAGAGAAUAUACAUCAAACGAUACUUAAGGAUAGAUAAAAUAAACUACUUAUAUAAAGCAAUAAUCAUGUUGUAGACAAGUGGUUGAAGGCUUGCCAUUCAAACCAGAGCAUGUUGGCUGAAUCUUUGGUUAUACAAUUUAUUUUAUUAUAUUUUUUUACCAAAUAUUUGGAUCUAGAUUGGAAAAA
This 1863-nucleotide long non-coding RNA is filed under the name Phoenix dactylifera (date palm). RNAcentral describes it as "long non-coding RNA (PDAC_LNC013755)". Lineage: Eukaryota; Viridiplantae; Streptophyta; Magnoliopsida; Arecales; Arecaceae. The record is from RNAcentral.